RNAcentral lists this unclassified non-coding RNA (274 nucleotides) under fungal sp. Its description in RNAcentral is "partial internal transcribed spacer region". The stretch from base 1 to 44 matches the Rfam family "Eukaryotic small subunit ribosomal RNA", at positions 1788 to 1831 of the family's 1831-position model. Lineage: Eukaryota; Fungi. The record is from RNAcentral.
GUCGUAACAAGGUUUCCGUAGGUGAACCUGCGGAAGGAUCAUUACCACACCUUUACCAAAUUCGAAUGAGUGCGUCUUCGGAUGCCUCAUUUCGAACGUUCCGUGAACCGUUUCGUUACUUCUGGGUUGAAACAAACCCCUUCUAUCAUUUUAAUGACAUGAAACUGUUCGCAGUGAAUUGUUGACCUUGAAAUAAAAUUCAAUAGGAUGCGAUUAACCUCCAUCUAUAAACUAAUGUCAAAACACUUUCAGCAAUGGAUGUCUUGGCUCCCAU